UUCAAACUGCAAACAAGGUCAAUUAAGACUCUUUCUAUUAUGAAUUUUUGAUCCAUGGAGGUUUUAUGUUGAUAAAAGUAUCCUUGAGCCAAGAAAAGCGAUUUAAAAAGCCUAUGUAAAGUCUGUGGGCCGAGCAGGAACUCACCGGUGGGGCGAGCAGGAGAAACACUACUGAGCAUGUUCAGUGGGCCACAUACCUCCUGAAGGAAACGUGGAAGCUAAAACAUUUUUGGCGUAUGCGCCAGGCAAGCAAUUCUUAUUGGACUGAAUGGGCGUCAUCUUUGACACAUUCAGAAUCAUUACUGCUUUUGCUGUUAGCAUUGUCGUUAACAGGCAGCUUGCUUUGUGCAUGUACUUAAAAUUCAUAUUUUAGAGGCUUUUACGGUCUGUAUUUCUCUGUAAUGUAGCACAGUGUUAACAAUAUAACUUAUAACACAUAAUUAAAUUAAUAUGAUGAACGUGCAACGACUAGUCAUCGCACAUUUAUCUAGUCAACUAGUUUAUCUAGUUGACUAGAUAAACUAGGAAAAUCUUCGGUUGGGGGCAGCCCUGGCUUCACUGUGGACUUUAUUCUGCAUUAAACAAAGACCUUGGUGAAGUGAUGCCAAGUGCCCAAGCAUAACCAUAAAAAGGUUUAAUAAUAGUAUCACUACAUUCAGAUAUUGAAUUGCAAGAUCAGAUAUUUUGUCGGGGAAAAAAAAGAAAAGAAAAAGAAAUGUCACCAAACUUUUUAAGCUCAAAUUAUAGUUGCCACAUCCGCUAGGGUCCGCGUGACGUAAAUCUCGUCAUCAGAGGGUGUGCGCAUGGGCUAUGUGCGGACAUCCGUGUACCUGCAAUUUAUUGUGUCCAUGCAGACCUGUCCGCACCAGUCCGCGCGGUCACAACAUUGUGUUCCUGUAGAGGGCGAUCUACUGCGCAUGUGUGGGGCACGUUCUCCGAACGGACCCCAGAAGGUAGUAUAAACACAUCAACUACCCGUCCGUGUCCAUGUGCGUCCGCUCAGGAGUAUAAAUGAAGCAUGACUCAUACAUUCAGUAUCAACAUUUUUGCAACAAUUAUAAUUUGGGCGGCAUUACGUUUCCU
Molecule: long non-coding RNA, 1083 nt
Organism: Thunnus maccoyii (southern bluefin tuna)
Lineage: Eukaryota; Metazoa; Chordata; Actinopteri; Scombriformes; Scombridae
Exons: 2
Source: RefSeq, a predicted model, not a curated record